UNGAACCCAGAGAGGAUAAGAAACUGCCUCA
This 31-nucleotide non-coding RNA is filed under the name Homo sapiens (human). The record is from RNAcentral. Lineage: Eukaryota; Metazoa; Chordata; Mammalia; Primates; Hominidae.